UAUAAUAAUAGUCACACAUACGUAUAUAUGUAUAUUAUUUAAACUAUACAAAUAAUUGUAAUAAAUCAGUAUGGCCCCUGCGUCUUAUUACUGCCUCCCUAUUACCUAGCCCAGUCUUCAGCAGACAUGGAUUAUGCCUUUCCUGUUCUUCUGGCCUUUUUGAGGAGCCAGGAAGAGUCUCCGUAAGACCCUCAACUUAAAUCUAUUGAAAUGAUACAAUAACAAAAGUAAAUAAGGGGAAAUAAGUGUGCAGCUGCCACCCUGCUGUGGAGGGAAACAUAAAUCCAUCAUCUCGUACACAAAUAGGAAGCCACCCGCUCCCGCCCCCAUUUCUACUCUCCGCUGUGGGGAGAGAGGCGACUUGGGGGGAGGAGGGGGCCCUUUCCCGACGGAGCCCCAAGAGCAGGAGGCCAAAGGCAGCGCCAUCUCUUCCUGUUUCCAUCCCAACACAGGCAGGGGCUGCUCUGCGAACGUAGCUCUAGAGGCGCGCGCCUGCGACAAGGAACCCGAAGUGUCUAUAGGUCGGAAGUUUCCAGGGGGCCCAAAGUGAAAAGUGGGAGGUUUUCCGAAGGGGAGGAGGGGUGUGGGUUGACUAGUUCCCCUCACCCCCCUACUCCGCUUUAUAUUGCGAGGAAAGAAACCGGAACAGCGAGCAGGGGAGGCGGAGGUCCAGAGAGGACAAAGAGGAGAGACUCUGAUCUGCAAGUCUGAGAUAAACUCCUCGCUUGAAACAGAAAAAUACAGAGAUCUUUUUCCUGGACCAAUUGAGGGCAUAGGUGGUACAUCCAUAAAUCCUUGACCACCCACUGCAAAGGAGAAAGGAACGUGAGAGAGGCCUGCACAGAGAAUUUCCACUGGGAUAUUCCAGUGUCACAAGAUGAACAUGAGAUCAGGUGGCACAUUCAUAAUUAUA
Molecule: non-coding RNA, 913 nt
Organism: Podarcis muralis (Common wall lizard)
Lineage: Eukaryota; Metazoa; Chordata; Lepidosauria; Squamata; Lacertidae
Source: RefSeq, a predicted model, not a curated record